This 80-nucleotide transfer RNA is filed under the name Amanita muscaria Koide BX008. It matches the Rfam family "tRNA". Rfam says of the family: Transfer RNA (tRNA) molecules are approximately 80 nucleotides in length. Their secondary structure includes four short double-helical elements and three loops (D, anti-codon, and T loops). Lineage: Eukaryota; Fungi; Basidiomycota; Agaricomycetes; Agaricales; Amanitaceae. The record is from Rfam by way of RNAcentral.
GGCGCUAUAGUGUAGUGGUUAUCAUUCGAGAUUCUGAUAUUUAAUUUCUCGAGACCCAGGUUCGAACCCUGGUAGCGCCU